RNAcentral lists this long non-coding RNA (243 nucleotides) under Homo sapiens (human). RNAcentral's name for it is "non-protein coding lnc-DZANK1-3:1". The record is from RNAcentral. Lineage: Eukaryota; Metazoa; Chordata; Mammalia; Primates; Hominidae.
GAAGUCUCACAUCCCGUACGAGGAAAGAAGCUUCAUAUUACAACAGGCUGACAUGUUUUUAGCUCAAGAGUGGAGACUUCUGUCAAUCAUGUGGGAUCAUGAAUGCCUGAAAGGUUGGAGGUCCAUGCGUUGACCAAGAAGAACUCCAGCUGCUUCAGAUUGCUUGAUUGUCACUGAAAAGUACACUCAAUAUGAAGAAGAUUGCAGUUAACUGGAGAUUAAAAUUAGAUGUCUUAAUAAGGC